This 80-nucleotide non-coding RNA is filed under the name Pteridomonas danica. Lineage: Eukaryota; Dictyochophyceae; Pedinellales. The record is from RNAcentral.
UUAAUUGAGGAGACAAAUGGAGAACGAAAAAAGAAAAGCAUACAAACAAGAAGCAACAGAAUAUCCAGAGGCAAUCAAAA